This 93-nucleotide non-coding RNA is filed under the name uncultured Anaerotignum sp. RNAcentral describes it as "TPP riboswitch (THI element)". It matches the Rfam family "TPP riboswitch aptamer (THI element)", at positions 8 to 91 of the family's 105-position model. Rfam says of the family: Vitamin B(1) in its active form thiamin pyrophosphate (TPP) is an essential coenzyme that is synthesised by coupling of pyrimidine and thiazole moieties in bacteria. The previously detected thiamin-regulatory element, thi box was extended, resulting in a new, highly conserved RNA secondary structure, the THI element, which is widely distributed in eubacteria and also occurs in some archaea. Analysis of operon structures identified a large number of new candidate thiamin-regulated genes, mostly transporters, in various prokaryotic organisms. Lineage: Bacteria; Bacillati; Bacillota; Clostridia; Lachnospirales; Anaerotignaceae. The record is from RNAcentral.
UCAGCUGGGGGUGCCGUUGCAAACGGCUGAGAGGAUAGACAAUCCAACCCUUUGAACUUGAUGUGGUUCGUACCAACGGAGGGAAGCGAAAUA